UACAGAGGUCCCGAGCGUUGUUCGGAUUCACUGGGCGUAAAGGGUGCGUAGGCGGUUCUGCAAGUCUGAUGUGAAAUCUCCAGGCCCAACCUGGAAACGGCAUUAGAAACUACAGGGCUAGAGGCUUGGAGGGGGAACUGGAAUGCUCGGUGUAGCAGUGAAAUGCGUAGAGAUCGAGCGGAACACCAGUGGCGAAGACGAGUUCCUGGACAAGUCCUGACGCUGAGGCACGAAAGCCAGGGGAGCAAACAGG
This 253-nucleotide ribosomal RNA is filed under the name uncultured bacterium. RNAcentral's name for it is "partial 16S ribosomal RNA". It matches the Rfam family "Bacterial small subunit ribosomal RNA", at positions 524 to 776 of the family's 1533-position model. The record is from RNAcentral.